Molecule: ribosomal RNA, 303 nt
Filed under: uncultured bacterium
Lineage: Bacteria
Description: partial 16S ribosomal RNA
Rfam family: Bacterial small subunit ribosomal RNA
Source: RNAcentral
AGCAGUAGCCGCGGGAAUACGUAGGCAGCAAGCGUUGUUCGGAGUUACUGGGCGUAAAGGGUGCGUAGGCGGUUCUAUAAGUAUGGUGUGAAAUCUCCCGGCUUAACCGGGAGGGUGCGCUAUAAACUGUGGGACUAGAGUGUGGGAGAGGAAAGUGGAAUUCCUGGUGUAGCGGUGAAAUGCGUAGAUAUCAGGAGGAACACCGGUGGUGUAAACGGCUUUCUGGACCAUAACUGACGCUGAGGCACGAAAGCGUGGGUAGCAAACAGGAUUAGAUACCCCCGUAGUCCCUGUCUCUUAUAC